UUUCCGUAGGUGAACCUGSGGAUGGAUCAUUAGUGAAUUUUAGGCGGUCUAACUUGUAGAGCCUGACCUCCACUCUCUAACACUGUGCACUUGAUGGCAAUUUGAAAGCUUCUCACGAGGCGGACAUUUUGCGGCUUCAUUUUAAACAUUAGUUAAAGUAUGUAACGAAAUAUCGAAACAAAAAAAAACUUUCAACAACGGAUCUCUUGGCUCUCGCAUCGAUGAAGAACGCAGCGAAAUGUGAUAAGUAAUGUGAAUUGCAGAAUUCAGUGAAUCAUCGAAUCUUUGAACGCACCUUGCGCUCUCUGGUAUUCCGGAGAGCAUGUCUGUUUGAGUGUCAUGAACUCUUCAACCCACCAGUUUCUAGUAGACUGUUUGUGGUGUUUGGAUCUUGAGCGCUGCUAGUCUGACUAGCUCGUUCGUAAUACAUUAGCAUCUCUAAUUCAAAUUCGGAUUGACUCAGUGUAAUAGACUAUUCGCUGAGGACACUAUUAAUUUAGUGGCCGUACUAGAACCAGUAGAAGCUUCGAACUACUUUAGUCAACUUUGAUUUAGACCUCAGAUCAGGCAGGAUUACCCGCUGAACUUAAGCAUAU
RNAcentral lists this ribosomal RNA (596 nucleotides) under uncultured fungus. RNAcentral's name for it is "eukaryotic LSU rRNA". The stretch from base 187 to 340 matches the Rfam family "5.8S ribosomal RNA". Lineage: Eukaryota; Fungi. The record is from RNAcentral.